AUGAACUUUACGGACACUUGUAAAGUAAAUGACACGGAGAAGCCCAAGCAGAACACGCUGGAAUGGCAGGGUCUGGGAAGAGGCGGCAGCACCGUGUCGGGCAGUGAAGGUGGCAAGAGAAAGCCCCUUAAAUAUCCUAAGAAGCAGGCCAGCAGCAUGGAUGAGGAAGAUGGCAUUCAAACAGAAACAAAAAGAGGAGCAGAAGAAACUCAAGGAGCUGAAAGUGAAGGCUGCAGGGAAGGGGCCCCUGGCCACAGGUGGAAUGAAGAAAUCUGGCAAACAGUAAGCUGUUCCUUGUGCCUGAGACGAUGGUGCCUCAAACUCCUGGCCUCAAGCAAUCCUCCCAGCUUCUGAGAGUGAUAGGAUUACAGGCUGGUACCAUAACCACUGUGGAGGGAUUACUAUAUCUUUUGCCAUUUAUGGCUAAAAUGAAAUGUUGUCUUGGAGACUACUGUGCAUUUUAGAUAAACUUUUGUAAAAAAAAAUAAGACGAAAAAGAAAAAAGAUGCUCUUGUUUAAUAAUUAGGCCUUCCGACUCUAUCCUUUUGUCCUCUUCCACGCUCACUCAGGAGGGGAGAAGGAUG
Nycticebus coucang (slow loris) is the source of this 584-nucleotide RNA transcript. It is a transcript of the gene named translation machinery-associated protein 7-like, with no coding region annotated. The record is from RefSeq and is a predicted model, not a curated record. The transcript is spliced from 2 exons. NCBI's taxonomy places the organism in Eukaryota, Metazoa, Chordata, Mammalia, Primates, Lorisidae.